AAAAACAUCGCCUCUUGAUUUAUGAUAAGAGGUCCAGCCUGCCCAGUGAAUUUUUAACGGCCGCGGUAUCCUAACCGCGCGAAGGUAGCAUAAUCACUUGUUCUUUAAAUGGGGACUCGUAUCAACGGCAUCACGAGGGUUUUACUGUCUCCUCUUUUUGAUCAGUGAAAUUGAUCUUCCCGUGAAGAAGCGGGAAUACUCAUAUAAGACGAGAAGACCCCAUGGAGCUUAAAACCAAAUGGUAACUUAACCACAUAUUUCCUUAUAACUUUAAGCCUAUACUAUGAGGUUUUUGGUUGGGGUGACCGCGGAGUAAAACAUAUCCUCCACGACGGAAAGACUACAAUCUUUAUUUAAGAACCACAGUUCUAAAAAUUAGCAUACUAACGUUUACUGACCCGAUAAUCGAUCAACGGAACAAGUUACCCUGGGGAUAACAGCGCAAUCUACUUCAAGAGCCCAUAUCGACGAGUAGGCUUACGACCUCGAUGUUGGAUCAGGGUAUCCCAGUGGUGCAGCCAUUACUGAAGGUUCGUUUGUUCAACGAUUAAAACCCUACGUGAUCUGA
Molecule: ribosomal RNA, 568 nt
Filed under: Polypedates megacephalus (Hong Kong whipping frog)
Lineage: Eukaryota; Metazoa; Chordata; Amphibia; Anura; Rhacophoridae
Description: partial 16S ribosomal RNA
Rfam family: Bacterial large subunit ribosomal RNA
Source: RNAcentral